GUCGAGCGAAUCGACGGGAGCUUGCUCCCUGAGAUUAGCGGCGGACGGGUGAGUAACACGUGGGCAACCUGCCUAUAAGACUGGGAUAACUUCGGGAAACCGGAGCUAAUACCGGAUACGUUCUUUUCUCGCAUGAGAGAAGAUGGAAAGACGGUUUACGCUGUCACUUAUAGAUGGGCCCGCGGCGCAUUAGCUAGUUGGUGAGGUAAUGGCUCACCAAGGCGACGAUGCGUAGCCGACCUGAGAGGGUGAUCGGCCACACUGGGACUGAGACACGGCCCAGACUCCUACGGGAGGCAGCAGUAGGGAAUCUUCCGCAAUGGACGAAAGUCUGACGGAGCAACGCCGCGUGAACGAAGAAGGCCUUCGGGUCGUAAAGUUCUGUUGUUAGGGAAGAACAAGUACCAGAGUAACUGCUGGUACCUUGACGGUACCUAACCAGAAAGCCACGGCUAACUACGUGCCAGCAGCCGCGGUAAUACGUAGGUGGCAAGCGUUGUCCGGAAUUAUUGGGCGUAAAGCGCGCGCAGGUGGUUCCUUAAGUCUGAUGUGAAAGCCCACGGCUCAACCGUGGAGGGUCAUUGGAAACUGGGGAACUUGAGUGCAGAAGAGGAAAGUGGAAUUCCAAGUGUAGCGGUGAAAUGCGUAGAGAUUUGGAGGAACACCAGUGGCGAAGGCGACUUUCUGGUCUGUAACUGACACUGAGGCGCGAA
RNAcentral lists this ribosomal RNA (713 nucleotides) under Bacillus sp. (in: firmicutes). RNAcentral's name for it is "bacterial SSU rRNA". It matches the Rfam family "Bacterial small subunit ribosomal RNA", at positions 61 to 757 of the family's 1533-position model. Lineage: Bacteria; Bacillati; Bacillota; Bacilli; Caryophanales; Bacillaceae. RNAcentral also lists the same sequence under 1 other name. The record is from RNAcentral.